UAACAAGGUUUCCGUAGGUGAACCUGCGGAAGGAUCAUUAUUGAAUUUUAAUGAAGAGUUUGGUUGUAGCUGGUCUAUUUAUUUAGGCAUGUGCACACCUUUCUCUUUCAUCCCACACACACCUGUGAACUUGUGAGACAGUUGGGGAAUUUAUUUGUUAUUUUUUGUAAUAAAAUUAUAAUAAGUCAUUGAACCCUUCUGUCUACUCAACUCAUAUAAACUCAAUUUAUUUUAAAUGAAUGUAAUGGAUGUAACACAUCUCAUACUAAGUUUCAACAACGGAUCUCUUGGCUCUCGCAUCGAUGAAGAACGCAGCGAAAUGCGAUAAGUAAUGUGAAUUGCAGAAUUCAGUGAAUCAUCGAAUCUUUGAACGCACCUUGCGCUCCUUGGUAUUCCUUGGAGCAUGCCUGUUUGAGUAUCAUGAAAUCUUCAAAAUCAAACUUUUUGUUAACUCAAUUAGUCUGAUUUUGGCAUUGGAGGUCUUUGCAGCUUCACACCUGCUCCUCUUUGUGUAUUAGCUGGAUCUCAGUGUUAUGCUUGGUUCCACUCAGCGUGAUAAAUUAUCUAUCGCUGAGGACACCGUAAAAAGUGGCCAAGGUAAAUGCAGAUGAACCGCUUCUAAUAGUCCAUUGACUUGGACACUAUUUUUAUGAUCUGAUCUCAAAUCAGGUAGGACUACCCGCUGAACUUAAGCAUAUCAAUA
This 703-nucleotide unclassified non-coding RNA is filed under the name Rhizoctonia solani AG-3. Its description in RNAcentral is "partial contains 18S rRNA, ITS1, 5.8S rRNA, ITS2, and 28S rRNA". The stretch from base 268 to 421 matches the Rfam family "5.8S ribosomal RNA". The record is from RNAcentral. Lineage: Eukaryota; Fungi; Basidiomycota; Agaricomycetes; Cantharellales; Ceratobasidiaceae.